This 656-nucleotide ribosomal RNA is filed under the name uncultured bacterium. RNAcentral's name for it is "bacterial SSU rRNA". It matches the Rfam family "Bacterial small subunit ribosomal RNA", at positions 60 to 676 of the family's 1533-position model. The record is from RNAcentral.
AGUCGAGCGAGCUUGCCUAGAUGAGUUUGGUGCUUGCACCAGAUGAAACUAGAUACAAGCGAGCGGCGGACGGGUGAGUAACACGUGGGUAACCUGCCCAAGAGACUGGGAUAACACCUGGAAACAGAUGCUAAUACCGGAUAACAACACUAGACGCAUGUCUAGAGUUUAAAAGAUGGUUCUGCUAUCACUCUUGGAUAGACCUGCGGUGCAUUAGCUAGUUGGUAAGGUAACGGCUUACCAAGGCAAUGAUGCAUAGCCGAGUUGAGAGACUGAUCGGCCACAUUGGGACUGAGACACGGCCCAAACUCCUACGGGAGGCAGCAGUAGGGAAUCUUCCACAAUGGACGCAAGUCUGAUGGAGCAACGCCGCGUGAGUGAAGAAGGGUUUCGGCUCGUAAAGCUCUGUUGGUAGUGAAGAAAGAUAGAGGUAGUAACUGGCCUUUAUUUGACGGUAAUUACUUAGAAAGUCACGGCUAACUACGUGCCAGCAGCCGCGGUAAUACGUAGGUGGCAAGCGUUGUCCGGAUUUAUUGGGCGUAAAGCGAGUGCAGGCGGUUCAAUAAGUCUGAUGUGAAAGCCUUCGGCUCAACCGGAGAAUUGCAUCAGAAACUGUUGAACUUGAGUGCAGAAGAGGAGAGUGGAACUCCAUGUGU